Molecule: ribosomal RNA, 253 nt
Filed under: uncultured bacterium
Lineage: Bacteria
Description: partial 16S ribosomal RNA
Rfam family: Bacterial small subunit ribosomal RNA
Source: RNAcentral
UAUGUCGGGUGCGAGCGUUACUCGGAAUUACUGGGCGUAAAGCGUGCGCAGGCGGCUUUGCAAGACAGAUGUGAAAUCCCCGGGCUCAACCUGGGAACUGCAUUUGUGACUGCAAGGCUAGAGUACGGCAGAGGGGGAUGGAAUUCCGCGUGUAGCAGUGAAAUGCGUAGAUAUGCGGAGGAACACCAAUGGCGAAGGCAAUCCCCUGGGCCUGUACUGACGCUCAUGCACGAAAGCGUGGGGAGCAAACAGG